Non-coding RNA from Oryza sativa Japonica Group (Japanese rice), 2503 nucleotides. NCBI's taxonomy places the organism in Eukaryota, Viridiplantae, Streptophyta, Magnoliopsida, Poales, Poaceae. The record is from RefSeq and is a predicted model, not a curated record.
AUGAAGCACAAGCUACUGAAGGGGUCCUCACUCUACACUGUAAGCCAGGGCAUUGUUGCUAUUCUGGAAAGCUAUCAAUCAAGUACCUUAAAUUCUUGUGAACAAGGUGCCGUGUACAAUAUCAGCUCUGAUAGAUACAAGGAGAUACUGAAUACACUUGAUCUUAGAAAGGACUUCUUUUUCAGUUACUCAUACCAUAUCAUGACAAGUCUUCAAAAAACUUGAGUGAUCCACAGGAAGGCUGGAGCGUAUAUGAGUCAACUUUUGUGUGGAAUGAAUGUGUUACACAAGGGAUACACAAUUUUCUUGGAAGUACUUUGUGGACCGUUGCGUUGGUCUAUGGAUUUUUUAAGCAGGAUAGAAUUUCAAUAUCUGCGAAGGACAUCAUGUUCACACUCAUUGCUAGACGCUCUAGGCAUUUUGCUGGAACCAGAUAUUUAAAGAUGGGGGUGAAUGAGAAAGGCUGAGUAGCAAAUGAUGCUGAGACUGAGCAAAUUGUGUAUGGAGCUAGACCUUGGCCUACAGAAGCAAGUUCUGUUGUGCAAAACAGAGGUUCAAUCCCUCUAUUUUGGUCAGAGGAGACAUCAAAGAUGAACAAUUAACCUGAUAUUAUACUGGAUCAGAAGGGCGAGAAUUAAGAAGCUACUAGGCUCCAUUUUGAGAAUCCUAGGAGAAGAUAUGGAGAUCCUAUCAUUUUUUUUAGACUUGAUUAAGGUUAGUUUGACCUUGUUAUUCCAGAGUAGCAGCAUCUUGUGUAACAUUUAUAUACCUGGACAUGAAUGAUAUUUUGGAAUGCCUUCUCACAUUUAUUUUUGUUGUUCACAUGGGAAAAAACGUGAGAGGCGAGAGUCAAUACUUCGUCGUGAAUUUGAUAUGGUGUUAAGGAUAAUAAACAAGAGCAUACCAGCCGAAAAUCAUUUGAGGUUCUUGCAUUGGGAUCUUCAUGAAAACUCCCUAGAAAACCUAUAAAUGUGCUUGAUGUUCUUUUAAAAGUGGCGUUCCGUGCUCUGAGGUUGACUGAGUUCUAUAGUGUGCUUGAUGUUCUUUUGAAAGUGGCGUUCCGUGCACCACCUACCAGGUCUGAUACUGCUCAUCAUUGGCCUUCCCAAUUGUAUUUUUUUCCUUCCCAAUAUUAAUUUGUCCGUUACGAUUUCUGUUGCGUUAUAUGUCAAAUAUUAAUCAUCAUGUGGUGAUCAUGGAUUAAAUUAGGAACAAUGGUUUAAUUGGGUUAUUCUAGGGAGAAGUGAUAUUCGUUGGUUGUCACGGCUGCCUGGAAGGGAAUUACAGCAUUUGAUUUUUAGAUUUAAUAGCUUAAGUAUCAUUUGGGCUCACUAAAGUGCUUCCUUUUUCUUAUCUUUCAGACUUUUACUAUGAAUUAUUUAACACGCAUAAAAGAACUUUUCUUGGAUGAUUUUUUUUAUUAUGAAAUCAACAUUUAUAUUGACAAACCUGCUUAGCUUCAGUUGGACAAUGAUAAGCUGCAGUAAGGCUCUUUCUCAUUGAAGGACAUUGGUAGAUUCUGCACGGCUGUUCUAUUACUAAACUCAGUAGAGAAUAUAUUUGCCCUUUUGCUUGACAUCACAUCUUUUAUUUUCUCUGUUUCAUAUGGUGUUUUGUUUCUCAUUUUAGCUGAACAUAUGUCUAAUUUAUUUGUACCGUGAUCUUUUUCUGAAGAUAUUCUCUGCAAAGAGAGGUCAUCCGAAGCAUGGUUAAAAAACAGUAAGUAGCAAAAAAAUCAUGGCACAUGAGUCAGUGGUACGCAGUAGCAAAAACAUAGUUAGGAGUUGCAUUGCUGUUUUGCUAUUCCAAAACGUUUAUGAAUUGUAGCAGGAUGUUUGUUCCUAUUUAAACGAGAGCUUUUAGCCAUUUAUUACCUUUUGUCGCUUCCCUGCUGGUUAUGUUCGAAGAAAACAAAAAAAAUCCUUAUUGAAAUAUGCACUUUGUAAAACAGUACGGGGUUCUUAUACUCUUUUCUUUAAUAACACAGUACAAUAAAAAGAGAGAUAUCAUAUGGCAGCAUUCUUUGUGAAAGCAACACAUCCAUAUCUGGAUGUAGUGGUUGCCAUAAUGAAGACGUCAGUUGUUGAAUGCAACACCGCUUGAUGUUAAAAGUGGGUCACAAUUUCCAGUAUUGGAAUCUGGUUCAGUACAUGGCAAUGAAAUUUCAUUGACUUGUGAAAGUGAGGUAUCAAACUUAAGGUAUACACACCCAUGGUACCUCAGAUACAUCAUGUUCCAGGCAUUGAAACUGAAAGUUGCAUUCAUUCAAGUGAUUCAAACAAUGGAUCUUGAAUGGCUUUCAACUUCAGGCAACUUAAGCGAUGAAAGGUGUUUACUUUUGCAUUGCUAUUGUAUUUUUUUUAGCGUUUUCGACUGAUAGAAUAUCAUCUUCAUAGUGGCAGUCAAUUUGAUGUACACACAUUUUCUUUGCCUUAGUGUAGGGAAAAGUGAAGGAUAAUAAUUAUUGAGAAAAUCCAUAAAAUGCCAUUGACAAGCACCCUAA